UACAGAGGUCCCGAGCGUUGUUCGGAUUCACUGGGCGUAAAGGGUGCGUAGGUGGCAUGUUAAGUUUGAUGUGAAAGCUCAGGGCUUAACCCUGAAAUGGCAUUGAAUACUAGCGUGCUGGAGGUUUGGAGGGGGGACUGGAACUCUCGGUGUAGCAGUGAAAUGCGUAGAUAUCGAGAGGAACACCAGUGGCGAAGGCGAGUCCCUGGACAACACCUGACACUGAGGCACGAAAGCCGGGGGAGCAAACAGG
This 253-nucleotide ribosomal RNA is filed under the name uncultured bacterium. RNAcentral's name for it is "partial 16S ribosomal RNA". It matches the Rfam family "Bacterial small subunit ribosomal RNA", at positions 524 to 776 of the family's 1533-position model. The record is from RNAcentral.